Molecule: non-coding RNA, 81 nt
Organism: Populus trichocarpa (black cottonwood)
Lineage: Eukaryota; Viridiplantae; Streptophyta; Magnoliopsida; Malpighiales; Salicaceae
Source: Rfam
CUUUUUAGGGACAAACGUCAAUAGUCUCCUAAUUUUUAGGGACUGAUGUCAUUUUUAACGUGUCUCCUAUUUUUAGGGACC